AAGACUCUAGUAAAAUUAAUAUACAUUGCUUUGUCAAGGCAAAGUCGUAGGUUAGACUCCUACGUGUCUUA
This 71-nucleotide transfer RNA is filed under the name Chaetodon wiebeli (Hong Kong butterflyfish). Its description in RNAcentral is "tRNA-Asp". It matches the Rfam family "tRNA". From Rfam's summary of the family: Transfer RNA (tRNA) molecules are approximately 80 nucleotides in length. Their secondary structure includes four short double-helical elements and three loops (D, anti-codon, and T loops). Further hydrogen bonds mediate the characteristic L-shaped molecular structure. tRNAs have two regions of fundamental functional importance: the anti-codon, which is responsible for specific mRNA codon recognition, and the 3' end, to which the tRNAs corresponding amino acid is attached (by aminoacyl-tRNA synthetases). tRNAs cope with the degeneracy of the genetic code in two manners: having more than one tRNA (with a specific anti-codon) for a particular amino acid; and 'wobble' base-pairing, i.e. permitting non-standard base-pairing at the 3rd anti-codon position. The record is from RNAcentral. Lineage: Eukaryota; Metazoa; Chordata; Actinopteri; Chaetodontiformes; Chaetodontidae.